This is a non-coding RNA of Phrynosoma platyrhinos (Desert horned lizard), 72 nucleotides long. NCBI's taxonomy places the organism in Eukaryota, Metazoa, Chordata, Lepidosauria, Squamata, Phrynosomatidae. The record is from the annotation of a GenBank genome assembly.
GCCAGCAUGGUGCAAUGGUUUGAAUGUUGGGCUACAACUCUGGAGACCAGGGUUCGAAUCCCCGCUCAGCCA